This 489-nucleotide ribosomal RNA is filed under the name uncultured bacterium. RNAcentral's name for it is "partial 16S ribosomal RNA". It matches the Rfam family "Bacterial small subunit ribosomal RNA", at positions 30 to 507 of the family's 1533-position model. The record is from RNAcentral.
UUGAACGCUGGCGGCAUGCCUUACACAUGCAAGUCGAACGGCAGCAUGAUCUAGCUUGCUAGAUUGAUGGCGAGUGGCGAACGGGUGAGUAAUACAUCGGAACGUGCCCUGUAGUGGGGGAUAACUAGUCGAAAGAUUAGCUAAUACCGCAUACGACCUGAGGGUGAAAGUGGGGGACCGCAAGGCCUCAUGCUAUAGGAGCGGCCGAUGUCUGAUUAGCUAGUUGGUGAGGUAAAGGCUCACCAAGGCGACGAUCAGUAGCUGGUCUGAGAGGACGAUCAGCCACACUGGGACUGAGACACGGCCCAGACUCCUACGGGAGGCAGCAGUGGGGAAUUUUGGACAAUGGGCGAAAGCCUGAUCCAGCAAUGCCGCGUGUGUGAAGAAGGCCUUCGGGUUGUAAAGCACUUUUGUCCGGAAAGAAAUGGCUCUGGUUAAUACCUGGGGUCGAUGACGGUACCGGAAGAAUAAGGACCGGCUAACUACGUG